CCUGGGACUUGGGCUGGAACUACUGGGAAGUUGGGGGCUCUUUUUUGCUGGAGUUGCUGAACUGGGACGUCUACUAUUGCUCCCCUACCUGGGGAAGACGAUGUGCUUGAAAAGGAAGCAAAUAGAAAAUACAAAAUUUUUCUUAAUUUUUUAAAAAAGCAAAAAUAAAUUUAAAAAUUAAUUUAAAAAAGAAGAAAAGGAAGGAAAUAUGGAGAAACCCUGGCAGGGGAGGACUGCAGGACCCAGAAAGAUGUGCCUCUGCUUUGGAAGGUCGGGUGGGCUGUGCUGCACAGCAGUGUCAAGUCCUAGCCUGUGUUGGGCCAAGAGGGGGCCGCAGCUGGCCUGCUGUUUCCAUCUGUGUGGCUCUGACAACCGCCAGCAUGUGAUGUAUUGCUAGGCCCAGGGCGCAGGUGAUGAAUGUCCGGGGCAGGUCAGUGGUCACAGCAGCUGUUUAAAGAGGCACCUCACGCACCUUGCAGCCUGCAGCCAAGGGCUGAGGCCAGUUUCAUUUGGGGCAAGCUACUAACCUUGUGGGGCCUUACUUAUCAGGCUUCUAAUCUCCCAGCUCCAGGGAAACUUUCCUCUGCGCACCAGGGGCCAUUUCUCUUCUCUAAACGAGGGUGAUGGCAGUUUGCUGGGGUUGCUGUGAGGACUGUGCAGGCCGGUGCUGUGUCUGAGGGAGUCAGCAACUUUCCUGCAAAGGGCAGAACCGUCUUUCCCUUGGUGACUCGGAUACCAGCUGGGGAGCCUCUCAACUCACCACCUGAAUCACAUCUCGGCCACAGUGGGGCCUGUCAGUGGCAGGAACCCUGGAGACAAAGGCUGCCUGCUAUAGGGGUAGGGGGAGGCCAGCUGAGCCUCUGGGACGUUUCCCUCCCCCAAGGACCCCCCCCCCGACUCCCCACUUAAUGCACUUCAUUCUUUUGGGGCCACUGAUUUAUUAAAAGGUCACCUAGAAGGUGGGCCCUCUGACAAACCGCAGGAGCUGCCACCUGCUGUGCCAGGGACCGUGAUCAGGCUUGCCAACUCACCACCCUGCUGGCUUGGCUCCAAGGCAGCCACCCCUUCCCACAGAGAGUGAGGCUGGAGGCAGCCAGGUUCCCCAA
Non-coding RNA from Vicugna pacos (alpaca), 1106 nucleotides. The record is from RefSeq and is a predicted model, not a curated record. Lineage: Eukaryota; Metazoa; Chordata; Mammalia; Artiodactyla; Camelidae.